This 813-nucleotide ribosomal RNA is filed under the name uncultured bacterium. RNAcentral's name for it is "bacterial SSU rRNA". It matches the Rfam family "Bacterial small subunit ribosomal RNA", at positions 60 to 871 of the family's 1533-position model. The record is from RNAcentral.
AGUCGAACGGCAGCGCGGGGCAACCUGGCGGCGAGUGGCGAACGGGUGAGUAAUAUAUCGGAACAUACCCUAGAGUGGGGGAUAACGUAGCGAAAGUUACGCUAAUACCGCAUACGCACUAAGGUGGAAAGUGGGGGAUCGCAAGACCUCAUGCUCAUGGAGUGGCCGAUAUCUGAUUAGCUAGUUGGUGAGGUAAAGGCUCACCAAGGCGACGAUCAGUAGCUGGUCUGAGAGGACGACCAGCCACACUGGAACUGAGACACGGUCCAGACUCCUACGGGAGGCAGCAGUGGGGAAUUUUGGACAAUGGGGGCAACCCUGAUCCAGCAAUGCCGCGUGAGUGAAGAAGGCCUUCGGGUUGUAAAGCUCUUUUGUCAGGGAAGAAACGGCGGUCUCUAAUAUAGACUGCUAAUGACGGUACCUGAAGAAUAAGCACCGGCUAACUACGUGCCAGCAGCCGCGGUAAUACGUAGGGUGCAAGCGUUAAUCGGAAUUACUGGGCGUAAAGCGUGCGCAGGCGGUUAUAUAAGUCAGAUGUGAAAUCCCCGGGCUCAACCUGGGAACUGCAUUUGAGACUGUAUGGCUAGAGUGUGUCAGAGGGGGGUAGAAUUCCACGUGUAGCAGUGAAAUGCGUAGAUAUGUGGAGGAAUACCGAUGGCGAAGGCAGCCCCCUGGGAUAACACUGACGCUCAUGCACGAAAGCGUGGGGAGCAAACAGGAUUAGAUACCCUGGUAGUCCACGCCCUAAACGAUGUCUACUAGUUGUCGGGUCUUAAUUGACUUGGUAACGCAGCUAACGCGUGAAGUAGACCG